Molecule: ribosomal RNA, 197 nt
Filed under: Klebsiella pneumoniae
Lineage: Bacteria; Pseudomonadati; Pseudomonadota; Gammaproteobacteria; Enterobacterales; Enterobacteriaceae
Also listed under: 28 other names
Description: partial 23S ribosomal RNA
Rfam family: Bacterial large subunit ribosomal RNA
Source: RNAcentral
GGCACUGCCCGGUAGCUAAAUGCGGAAGAGAUAAGUGCUGAAAGCAUCUAAGCACGAAACUUGCCCCGAGAUGAGUUCUCCCUGAGACUUUAAGUCUCCUGAAGGAACGUUGAAGACGACGACGUUGAUAGGCCGGGUGUGUAAGCGCAGCGAUGCGUUGAGCUAACCGGUACUAAUGAACCGUGAGGCUUAACCUU